RNAcentral lists this transfer RNA (90 nucleotides) under Flaviaesturariibacter aridisoli. RNAcentral describes it as "Flaviaesturariibacter sp. 17J68-15 tRNA-Ser". It matches the Rfam family "tRNA". From Rfam's summary of the family: Transfer RNA (tRNA) molecules are approximately 80 nucleotides in length. Their secondary structure includes four short double-helical elements and three loops (D, anti-codon, and T loops). Further hydrogen bonds mediate the characteristic L-shaped molecular structure. tRNAs have two regions of fundamental functional importance: the anti-codon, which is responsible for specific mRNA codon recognition, and the 3' end, to which the tRNAs corresponding amino acid is attached (by aminoacyl-tRNA synthetases). tRNAs cope with the degeneracy of the genetic code in two manners: having more than one tRNA (with a specific anti-codon) for a particular amino acid; and 'wobble' base-pairing, i.e. permitting non-standard base-pairing at the 3rd anti-codon position. The record is from RNAcentral. Lineage: Bacteria; Pseudomonadati; Bacteroidota; Chitinophagia; Chitinophagales; Chitinophagaceae.
GGAGAGGUGCCAGAGUGGUUGAAUGGGCCAGUCUCGAAAACUGGAAUACGGGCAACUGUAUCGGGGGUUCGAAUCCGCCCCUCUCCGCCA